AUUGAACGCUGGCGGCAGGCUUAACACAUGCAAGUCGGACGGUAACAGGAGGAAAGCUUGCUUUCUUUGCUGACGAGUGGCGGACGGGUGAGUAAUGCUUGGGAAUCUGUUUUAUGGAGGGGGAUAACUACGGGAAACUGUAGCUAAUACCGCGUAAUAUCGAGAGAUUAAAGUGUGGGACCGUAAGGCCACAUGCCAUAGAGUGAGCCCAAGUGGGAUUAGGUAGUUGGUGGGGUAAAGGCCUACCAAGCCGUCGAUCUCUAGCUGGUCUGAGAGGAUGACCAGCCACACUGGGACUGAGACACGGCCCAGACUCCUACGGGAGGCAGCAGUGGGGAAUAUUGCACAAUGGGCGCAAGCCUGAUGCAGCCAUGCCGCGUGAAUGAAGAAGGCCUUCGGGUUGUAAAGUUCUUUCGGUGGUGAGAAAGGUUGUAAUGUUAAUAGCAUUAUAAUUUGACGUUAGCCACAGAAGAAGCACCGGCUAACUCCGUGCCAGCAGCCGCGGUAAUACGGAGGGUGCGAGCGUUAAUCGGAAUAACUGGGCGUAAAGGGCACGCAGGCGGAUACUUAAGUGAGGUGUGAAAGCCCUGGGCUUAACCUAGGAAUUGCAUUUCAUACUGGGUAUCUAGAGUAUUUUAGGGAGGGGUAGAAUUCCACGUGUAGCGGUGAAAUGCGUAGAGAUGUGGAGGAAUACCGAAGGCGAAGGCAGCCCCUUGGGGGAAUACUGACGCUCAUGUGCGAAAGCGUGGGGAGCAAACAGG
Molecule: ribosomal RNA, 761 nt
Filed under: uncultured bacterium
Lineage: Bacteria
Description: bacterial SSU rRNA
Rfam family: Bacterial small subunit ribosomal RNA
Source: RNAcentral